GUUUUUAGAUUCCUGGUUAAUGUGUCUUAGGGCGUCUGCUUUGUUUUGAAGCCGACCAGCUGCAGUUCAUAGACGUUUCAGCCCAUAAUUGGCUGGUUCCGAGGCUGCCGUGGCAAACAAGCAUCGCAGAGGAGAAACAACUAGGCGCACCCAACGCACCAAAGGCAGGACUUUACUGGGGAAGGAGCUGCUGAGCUGCCUCGAACAAUGCAGGACAACAUAGCUGAUUUGAAUAUGGAGCAAGCAGUCUGUAGCAGGCAGAAUCAUGAAUAAUAUUAACAGACUGAGAAGAUUACGUGUGCAAUAGGCUACCAAACUCCAACUGUUUAUACAAAUGGAACCAAAGACAAAUGUGCAAGACUUCUUUUACCAGGAUCCACCAGAUUCACCUUGAAAAAAGUUCAUAACUGCUAAACUACAAUACGACUUCUUUGUUGGAUUCUGAAGGCCCCUUAUUCUCUUUGUGGCAGGCUAUUACUAGUUCCUCCUAGUAGAAAUACUUGUUGGCUAUAUUUAUAUCAACCCUGGUAUCCUUAUUAUUUAGCCCAUGUAUUCUUAACUGUUUCUUUGGUUUUGUCUCCCCCAGAUUUAAAGCUAUAAGACUACCCAUGACAACAAAGCCUGGUGCCUAUCAAGGGCCUUUAGAUAGACCUUCUAUAGAGUAACUCUCACUGCCGAUCAAACCUAUAAUGCUCUUCAGCCUUAAGUAGUCAGAAUGGUCUUUGCCCCUUGCCCACUCACAGCAGUUAAGAAUACUUCUUCAGAGAGAGGAAUAUUGU
Molecule: long non-coding RNA, 779 nt
Filed under: Heterocephalus glaber (naked mole-rat)
Lineage: Eukaryota; Metazoa; Chordata; Mammalia; Rodentia; Bathyergidae
Description: lncRNA (ENSHGLG00000044359.1)
Source: RNAcentral